Fukomys damarensis (Damara mole-rat) is the source of this 5023-nucleotide long non-coding RNA. RefSeq lists it as uncharacterized. The record is from RefSeq and is a predicted model, not a curated record. NCBI's taxonomy places the organism in Eukaryota, Metazoa, Chordata, Mammalia, Rodentia, Bathyergidae. The transcript has 9 exons.
UGGAUGUAAAGGUAUUGUAAUUUAAAAUGUAUCAAUAAAAUUAAGAGAAAAAAGAAUACGUAGAGAAAUAUUAGUGGGUGUCAGUUGUCUCCCCGCCUGUAUUUUUGUGUUAGUUCAGCUGCUUUGCUAGUUGCAAAGCCGUAUUAUCAGAGUAAAAGUGUACUUGUAAACUGCAUGGAACUAAAAAUUAGGAAUAAAGCCAUUUUCUUACAUUGAAAACAAUGAAGAAAAAACAGAUUUGGUUAGCACUGCUUUACUUGUAUAUAUAAAUUAUUAAUAUCUACAAUACAGUAUUGUAAGAAUUAAAUUAAUAUUUAGCUCACAGCUGUAUACCCCUAGGGCUUAACACCGUCCCUGCCACAGGGCAGGCACUCGAUAAAUUCUGCCGAAUGAAGCCCUAGCGUCCCUUGUCUCCUGAAAGCGAUGAGACCUGUGCGCCCGCCGACUUAAGGGCGUGAGGGCUGGAACCCGCCUGUCUUCACUGGAAAGGAGACUGGAAAUACAGGGAUAGGCGACAGGUGUCCCGUAAGCUAAUAUUUCGCUUAGUUUGUGGAGCUGAGUGCCCGCAGUGUGUUUUCCGGAUCUGUGUUCCCAGGUGGGCGAUUCGGACCCCAGCGGGGAGGUGCGCCAGUCAAGAGAUUGCACAGAAAUCCAGAACUCUCGUGGCAGGCGGCUCAGGACGCUGCCAAAGACAGGAACGCUGCUUAGCUUUUUGGGAAAUAGUUGCAGGACAUUCAAGUGGUACCCCCAUCGAUGUUUUAAUUAAUAAUAGAAAUUGCAGUGACAGAAUGAAAACCAUUUUAACUGAAGAAAAAACAACUAAAUAUUCACAGAUAUCUUCUAGCAGUUUGUUUUAAUUCACAGAUCAUAUUGGAACUUAAUCCAGUGCCAUUUCCAUCUUGUUCAACUGAGAAAAUGGUUCUUGUGGGAAUUCUUUUUACUGCUCACACCUGCCACGAGGUAUUAACAGAUUAGAGCAAAUCCUAAGAGGUGCUUUGUGUCAUCCAAGUGAACAAUGUUGGCCAAGCACCGUCUGUAUUCCGGAGGUCCUCUGUGGUCUGGAGUGGCAGUGGUACCUGCAGAGCUCUUCUCUGUUCCACAGAGCAGAUUGAAGGCAGGAGUUGGAUAUUUAGGUUGAUUCCAGUUCUCCACUACUGCAUAUAAGAUUCCAAGGAUAAAAUUUGACCUACUUUUCCUUGCACCUCCAAAAAACUUCAGCUGGUACACGGAUCCCCUGACUCAGGAUCUGGAGGUGCAGUUCAUGUAACUGAACCCAAUAGAGAUGGCUGCAUUAAAACAGCUUGUCAGUCGGCAAUGAGAAAUACAACUUCUAGGAAGAAGGUGCACGCCCGUCUGUCCAGCUGCCGUAUUGUGUCCUUGCAGGCACACAACUACCAAAGUGAAAACAAAGUUGCCGGCAAACAUCAGCGAAAAAUAAGCGCUCGCCUAGCACGGACAAGACUCCAUGCACUCUCUGCCACCUGCCUCACCCCGCCAAGGUGGGGGUUCGUGUUCAUCACAUCCAGGUAUUGCUAGAUACCUCUGGAGUAACCAAGUGACCCGAUGUCUCUCUAUCACCAUACUCAUUGAUGAACCCUGAUGGGGAAUGGCGGAGGAGCUCUGGAAUUAGAAAAUUCCAGGAGACGGUCACGAGAAUGCGUUCUUUUUUCCACAGAUGAAGCCUUCCAGACACCUCCAUUUGAAGGCGUCAUUGUUGGUGUCGGGCUCCGAUGAGGUUCACUUCGCCUCAUCUCCAUCUUGUAUUGCCAUCAGUGGCACUGACCACCUGAGCCAGAAAUGUGGAAGUAAAUUGUCCCCAACAUCUCUUUAUGCCUCACUCCAAACUCAAUUAAUCUCUGAACCUUGCCAGUCCUACUUUAUAAACACUUGCUAUUUUCUUCCCUCCUCUCUUUCCAUUGCUAUGGCUUGGGACAGAUCUUGCCCACGAGCUCCUUAGUGGUUUUUGGCUACCUGUCUUAAAAGCUACAGUCUCCGCCUCUCCCCCAGCCCUUGGGUAAUUGAGCUUUUUCCUUCAGCACUUCUGAGCUCUGCUCUGGUUUCCUGUGCAGCCAGUUUUCCUCUGGCCACAAUGAACAGAUUGCUGUUGCCAGAAUCUCCUGUUCAAAAGUAGCACACUCCCUUAGCCAAAAAUGCUCCCUUUGUUCUGUUUCUCUCUUAAUUCUUGUUCAUGCUUUAAGUUGGACUUGACUGUUGUCCCAGCAUCUUUUGCUGACAGCUUUCACCCUCGCUUCACUCGCUGAGAUCUUUCAGAUAGGCUCCCUCCCACAGCCCUGCCAAGACAGCUAGCAGAGGAUCCGGGCUCUGUCCUGUGAAUGUGGAUUAUUUUUCUCACUUCCUUACCAAGCUGCAAAUUCUUUGAGGGAAGAGAUUUGAGUCUUAUUUGAAUUUGUAUCACACUGCCUGCUUCCAGUUUGACACAUGCAGACUCCCAAGCAGCACCCACUGAGGGACACAUAAAUGAAUGGUUGCGGGGAGGAUGCAUUACGAACUAUAGUUCCUAAUUCUGUGGACACAUUUCCUUCUUGUGCAGUAAUCAGUGUUUGAUUUUAAACAAUUUUUACUCUUUUUUGUUAUAAAGUAAUACAUGCUCAUAAUUUAAGAGAAAGAAAUGAAAAAGAAAAAAAUAAGGUACAAAGAAAAGAGGAGAUACAUUCAAGCAAUACAGAGGAAACACAGUACAAAUCCUUCACUACCAUCCAUAGUCUCUCUCCCUGGAAAUAAGCACUACGUUAAUCAUUUUGUUUAUGUUCCCAAAUAGUUUCUCUGUAUAUACAGACAUGCAUACAAUGUCUUACACAAGCAAGUUUCAUACUACGCACAAUUCUCCGCAGCUGCUUGUUUUUACUGCUUCUGCUUAACCUUCAUCUCCGCGCACUGUGGCGAUCCUGCUAGAAUUCUCUGAACUCGCCAGCAUUUCUUUGCCAUCACAGAUUCAGCUGGAAAAACUGUCAGCCGUCUUCAUUUUCGCACACGUUCUCAGGCACAGAGAAGUCAGGGUACACUCAGAGGGACCCAGUAGGGCCCGGCUGGGAUGCCGUCUCGGGCACCUGUCCCGACCCCGUGCUUUUCCCACUCUCUCUGCAGCACCUGCACUGUAGCUGCAGAUUCUGUGGGCCUUAUCUCUCUGAGGACUGUGUGUUGUACAUCCAGCCUUAGGGAACAAAGCUCCAACUGCAGGCAACUCCUCGCAGCGUUUAACCCCUUCUGAAGUGGCUUUACUGUGCUCUUCAGGUGGGAGGCGUGGGGUAGACAUAGGGCGCAGGACAUAGUACCUACGAUCUGGCUUCCCCUGGCGUCUUCUACAGACUUCCGAAAUUCCGAGGAAGAGAGAGGAUCAGCCUGUCCCCUCACUUGCCUUGGGGACUGAGCGUCAUCUCCCCUACAGGAGCCCCGUGCUCUGGUAAUGUUCUUUCCAUUCACACCUGACUCACAAUAUUAAAGCAUUUGCUUCUGUGGGUGAUGGGGUGCGUGUUCAUCAAGGAAAACGUAAGUCCGACAGCUGCUUCCGUAUUUUCACAGCAAUAUGGGCUUCUCUUGAAGGCAACCUGGUUUUCACACUUGCUCCUCUUUCCCUCUCUGUUCCACUUUAGUUUAGAUGAAUCUGCCCCUUCUGGGAAAAUGAACACUCCUGACUUUUCCUUCAGCUUAUUUCUCUGACCCCUGUACUUAAUUGCUUGUGGCAUUUACAUACUAGUAUUUAGCAAAUUCAUUUGGCUGAGAUUUUCUUUAGUAUAGGAUAGAAUCCAGUUUAUUAGUUAUUUGAUUCAUUUGGAUUUCUGGAUUCCAAGUACGGUCGGACAUUUUAUGUUAUUAUUAUUUUUUUGGUACUGGGGAUUAAACUCAGGACCUUCCGAGGCAGGUAGUGGCACCACUGAGCUCCAUCCCCGGCCCUAUAUUAAUCUUUUAAAGAGAGCGUCUUAUACAUGGGUGAUCUCUGUUCAUCAGAUCACUGCUUUUUAUCAUAUCUUAGAUGUUUUCAUAUUUCUUCUUGCAAAUAAUUUUAAGGAUGUUUACUUGCCCAAAGAAUAGCACUGAAAAAAGCCAUGAUCCUAAGUACUGGGGGAGAAAGAGGACAUGGAGACUUCCCAUCUUACUGAGGUUUGUAACCUCCUAGGCUUCUCUUUGAACCAUAGGCUGCAUGUGUGUAGAAAUGUACACGUAUAGCCAUCAUGCAUGCUUUGUGGGGUAUCAGAUCAAAUCAUCCUCAGAAACAUGUUUCCUGUGAAGAACAGAAAAGAAAGCAAUUCCAAGGAAGUCCAGUUAAGACGAUUGCAAUACCGGACAUCUCUUUUUCAUGUUAGGUAUUUAUUGUGGAACUGUAGCUUUCUUAAAUUGAAAGACACUCCAAAUAUUUGUAAGCAAAACCUUCUGGAUCAAUUUCUUGCUUACUUAGAGUUGAAGAAUAAUGCAGAAUGUAAGCGAUGAAGCCGAAAGCAGUGAUUGCACAGUAGAAAAUAAAUGAUUCUGGAACUGACAAUGCCCUUCAACCCCGCGGGCGUCCACCUGCUGCAUCCCCUUCCCGCUUUUCCUGCCAUCUCCGUGAACGCCUGUCCAGGAGCCUGAAACUUCCAGUAGGGGGUGCUGUUGUCUAGUACAAGGCCUUUGUUCUCAGAAUUUGGUUAGCGCUUGAGAUCAUUUGUAAACGUUGCCCUUUCUCAAGAUUUAAUCUGUUUAAAUUGAUAUUGGUUAUUUGCUCUUAAGUUUACUGUGAAUUUAAUCGUAUGUUGCUGUUUAAUACACUAAAGUGCUAUUCUGGUGGCAGCCACUGCAGUGAUUAGCAUUUUUCCCAGAAUGUGUUCUGAAUACUAGUGAGUUUGUUCAAGAAAAGAGCGAUAAUUUUAUUGUUUUAAAAAUAAAAUAUUUGAUUACUUUGAAAAAAUGCAUGAAGUGAAUUUUGAUGAGUUGGUUGUGUAAUCAAGCUAAGAUUGUUGGAGGAACUGAACAUACAAGUCUCGCCUUGAAAAUUUUAUUUUUCAGCUGGUAGAGAUGCAUUAUAUUUGCA